UACGGAGGGUGCGAGCGUUAAUCGGAAUUACUGGGCGUAAAGCGCGCGUAGGCGGCUAAGUAAGCCGGUUGUGAAAGCCCCGGGCUCAACCUGGGAAUGGCAUCCGGAACUGUUUAGCUAGAGUGCAGAAGAGGAAAGUAGAAUUCCCGGUGUAGCGGUGAAAUGCGUAGAGAUCGGGAGGAAUACCAGUGGCGAAGGCGGCCGUCUGGUCUGUAACUGACGCUGAGGUGCGAACGCGUGGGGAGCAAACAGG
This 253-nucleotide unclassified non-coding RNA is filed under the name uncultured Halomonadaceae bacterium. RNAcentral's name for it is "contains 16S-23S intergenic spacer region". It matches the Rfam family "Bacterial small subunit ribosomal RNA", at positions 524 to 776 of the family's 1533-position model. Lineage: Bacteria; Pseudomonadati; Pseudomonadota; Gammaproteobacteria; Oceanospirillales; Halomonadaceae. The record is from RNAcentral.